GCUGCAGAUCAUUGAAUCUGUAGAGGAAAGUCCAUGCUCGAACGGUGCUGAGAUGCCCGUAGUGUUCGUGCCUAGCGAAGAAAUAAGCUAGGGCAGCCUUGAUAGGCUGACGGCAGGAAAAAAGCCUACGUCUCCGGAUAUGGCUGAGUAUCCUUGAAAGUGCCACAGUGACGAAGUCUCAUCAGAAAUGGUGAGAGUGGAACGCGGUAAACCCCUCGAGCGAGAAACCCAAAUUUUGGUAGGGGAACCUUCUUGAAGGAACUGAAC
RNAcentral lists this RNase P RNA (267 nucleotides) under Bacillus cereus. RNAcentral describes it as "partial RNase P RNA component class B". It matches the Rfam family "Bacterial RNase P class B", at positions 15 to 278 of the family's 365-position model. Rfam says of the family: Ribonuclease P (RNase P) is a ubiquitous endoribonuclease, found in archaea, bacteria and eukarya as well as chloroplasts and mitochondria. Its best characterised activity is the generation of mature 5'-ends of tRNAs by cleaving the 5'-leader elements of precursor-tRNAs. Cellular RNase Ps are ribonucleoproteins. The record is from RNAcentral. Lineage: Bacteria; Bacillati; Bacillota; Bacilli; Caryophanales; Bacillaceae.